UGAGGAAUAUUGGUCAAUGGACGCAAGUCUGAACCAGCCAAGUAGCGUGCAGGAUGACGGCCCUAUGGGUUGUAAACUGCUUUUAUAUGGGGAUAAAGUGGGGAACGUGUUCCCUUUUGCAGGUACCAUAUGAAUAAGGACCGGCUAAUUCCGUGCCAGCAGCCGCGGUAAUACGGAAGGUUCGGGCGUUAUCCGGAUUUAUUGGGUUUAAAGGGAGCGUAGGCCGUUUGGUAAGCGUGUUGUGAAAUGUAGGAGCUCAACUUCUAGAUUGCAGCGCGAACUUGCAGACUUUAGUGGGCACAACGUAGGCGGAAUUCCUGGUGUAGCGGUUAAAUUCUUAGAUAUCAUGAAAAACUCCGAUUGGGAAGGCAGCUUACGGGGGCGCAACUGACGCUGAAGGUCGAAGGUGCGGGUAUCGAACAGG
RNAcentral lists this ribosomal RNA (424 nucleotides) under Verrucomicrobiota bacterium. RNAcentral describes it as "Verrucomicrobia bacterium partial 16S ribosomal RNA". It matches the Rfam family "Bacterial small subunit ribosomal RNA", at positions 355 to 776 of the family's 1533-position model. Lineage: Bacteria; Pseudomonadati; Verrucomicrobiota. The record is from RNAcentral.